RNAcentral lists this ribosomal RNA (196 nucleotides) under uncultured Gammaproteobacteria bacterium. Its description in RNAcentral is "partial 16S ribosomal RNA". It matches the Rfam family "Bacterial small subunit ribosomal RNA", at positions 337 to 524 of the family's 1533-position model. The record is from RNAcentral. Lineage: Bacteria; Pseudomonadati; Pseudomonadota; Gammaproteobacteria.
UCCUACGGGAGGCAGCAGUGGGGAAUAUUGGACAAUGGGCGCAAGCCUGAUCCAGCCAUACCGCGUGUGUGAAGAAGGCCUUCGGGUUGUAAAGCACUUUAAGCAGGGAGAAAAAGUUAUAAGUUAAUACCUUAUAGUCCUUGAUGUUACCUGCAGAAUAAGCACCGGCUAAUUCCGUGCCAGCAGCCGCGGUAAU